This 254-nucleotide ribosomal RNA is filed under the name uncultured bacterium. Its description in RNAcentral is "partial 16S ribosomal RNA". It matches the Rfam family "Bacterial small subunit ribosomal RNA", at positions 524 to 776 of the family's 1533-position model. The record is from RNAcentral.
UACGGAGGGAGCUAGCGUUGUUCGGAAUUACUGGGCGUAAAGCGCACGUAGGCGGCUUUGUAAGUUAGAGGUGAAAGCCUGGGGCUCAACCCCAGAAUUGCCUUUAAGACUGCAUCGCUUGAAUCCAGGAGAGGUGAGUGGAAUUCCGAGUGUAGAGGUGAAAUUCGUAGAUAUUGGGAAGAACACCGGUGGCGAAGGCGGCUCACUGGCUCGUAUCUGACGCUCAGGCGCGGACAGCGUGGGGAUCAAACAGG